RNAcentral lists this ribosomal RNA (460 nucleotides) under uncultured bacterium. RNAcentral describes it as "partial 16S ribosomal RNA". It matches the Rfam family "Bacterial small subunit ribosomal RNA", at positions 338 to 795 of the family's 1533-position model. The record is from RNAcentral.
CCUACGGGUGGCAGCAGUGAGGAAUAUUGGUCAAUGGGCGCGAGCCUGAACCAGCCAAGUCGCGUGAAGGAUGACUGUUCUAUGGAUCGUAAACCUCUUUUAUAAGGGAAUAAAUUGUGGGACGUGUCCUAUUUUGUAUGUACCUUAUGAAUAAGGAUCGGCUAACUCCGUGCCAGCAGCCGCGGUAAUACGGAGGAUCCGAGCGUUAUCCGGAUUUAUUGGGUUUAAAGGGGGAGUAGGUGUGUUUUUAAGUCAGUGGUGAAAGUAUGCGGCUCAACCAUAAAAUUGCCGUUGAUACUGGGGGGCUUGAGUAUGUUUGAGGUAGGCGGAAUGCGUGGUGUAGCGGUGAAAUGCUUAGAUAUCACGAAGAACCCCGAUUGCGAAGGCAGCCUACUAAGCCAUGACUGACGUUGAUGCACGAAAGCGUGGGGAUCAAACAGGAUUAGAUACCCUAGAAGUC